UUGGCGUCGACGUUGUUUGAAGGUUUUCGGUCGUUGCCGUGUUGAUUUGCUUUUUUUGUUCGCGACCGUAGUUCUUUCCGAGGCCGUUUGAGUUUGACGCUUCCUCCCGGUGCUCGAGCUUGGAGAUCCGAACUUCUCGUUACUUUGAGGAAGUCGAUAUCUUCUCGGCCUGUGUCGAGUGCUCUUUUAGUGACUGAGGGUUUUUUGAUAGGAGUAUCCCUCCUCGUUGAGGCGAGGUCCCUUGUGUCUUUGACAUAGUUUGUUUUGCAUUUAUCGCUGGUGUAGUUCGUCGCUUUUCUUUUUCAUCUUCCCCUAUCUCUUUUUUUUUGUGUUCGAGUGAGGGUUUUUCCUCUGCUCUUAACGAGGUCGUGGGAGUGUAAAGGAGCCGUUGAGGAGGAUUUCCUCCUCGUCCGAUCUUGAUCAACCGGAUUUUUAUUUGUGUCAAGACGAGGUUCUCCUCUUGUUCCCAAUACAAUCAAAUUCAACUCAUGUUAGGACGAGGUUCUCCUGUUCCUAACAAGGCUGUGGGGGCACAUAAGGGCCGUUGUAAGAACCUCUCUCCCCAUCUGGUCUUAAAUAAUCGGGCCUUCAACUUUGCUCAUGUUAGGACGAGGUUCUCCUCCUGUUCCCGACAAGGCUGUAGGGGCACAUAAGGGCCGUUGUAAGGGCAUCUUCCCCCAUCCGGACUUAAAUAACCGGGCCUUCAACUUUGCUCAUGUUAGGACGAGGUUCUCCUCUUAUUCCUAACAAGGCUGUGGGGGCACAUAAGGGCCGUUGUAAGGACCUCUCUCCCCGUCCGGUCUUAAAUAACCGGGCCUUCGACUUUGCUCAUGUUAGGACGAGGUUCUCCUCCUGUUCCUAACAAAGCUGUGGGGGCACAUAAAGGCCAUUGUAAAGGCCUCUCCCCCCAUCCGGUCUUAAAUAACCAGACCUUUGACUCUACUCAUGUUAGGACGAAGUUCUCCUCCUGUUCCUAAUAUGCUUAAUUUCGAUUGUCGAAAGGAACUGCUCCCUGUCGUUAUGAGCUAAAGCCAAAAAGAAGAUAUACAAAUAUGAAAAAAACUUUUAUUUGAGGCAAAGUUAUUGGUAGUACAUUCGUAGAUUUUUCGAAUCUCAUGGUCGUGGAAGGUCUGCCCCCCGUCGGGGUCC
This 1149-nucleotide long non-coding RNA is filed under the name Elaeis guineensis (African oil palm). RNAcentral describes it as "long non-coding RNA (EGUI_LNC023512)". Lineage: Eukaryota; Viridiplantae; Streptophyta; Magnoliopsida; Arecales; Arecaceae. The record is from RNAcentral.